GAUGAACGCUGGCGGCGUGCUUAACACAUGCAAGUCGAACGGGAAACAUUUUAUUGAAGCUUCGGCAGAUUUAACUUGUUUCUAGUGGCGGACGGGUGAGUAACGCGUGGGUAACCUGCCUCACACUGGGGGAUAACAGACCGAAAGGCCUGCUAAUACCGCAUGAUACAGUUGGGUCGCAUGACUCUGACUGUCAAAGAUUUAUCGCUCUGAGAUGGCCUCGCGUCUGAUUAGCUGGUUGGCGGGGUAACGGCCCACCAAGGCGACGAUCAGUAGCCGGACUGAGAGGUUGACCGGCCACAUUGGGACUGAGACACGGCCCAG
Molecule: ribosomal RNA, 324 nt
Filed under: uncultured bacterium
Lineage: Bacteria
Description: bacterial SSU rRNA
Rfam family: Bacterial small subunit ribosomal RNA
Source: RNAcentral